This 1393-nucleotide ribosomal RNA is filed under the name Legionella pneumophila. RNAcentral describes it as "partial 23S ribosomal RNA". It matches the Rfam family "Bacterial large subunit ribosomal RNA", at positions 1542 to 2925 of the family's 2925-position model. Lineage: Bacteria; Pseudomonadati; Pseudomonadota; Gammaproteobacteria; Legionellales; Legionellaceae. The record is from RNAcentral.
CGGUUUUCCAUAACUCUGAGGUGCGAAGUGGUUCUGACCUUUUGGUACAGAGAAGUCAUUGAUGCCCGGCUUCCAGGAAAAGCUGCUAGCCAUAACUUAUAGAGAACCGUACCGCAAACCGACACAGGUGGACAGGUAGAGAAUACUAAGGCGCUUGAGAGAACUCGGGUGAAGGAACUAGGCAAAAUGGUACCGUAACUUCGGGAGAAGGUACGCCCUUUUGGGUGAGGGCAUUUACUGUCUGAGCUUAAGAGGGCCGCAGAGACCAGGUGGCUGCGACUGUUUAUUAAAAACACAGCACUCUGCAAAUUCGUAAGAAGACGUAUAGGGUGUGACGCCUGCCCGGUGCCGGAAGGUUAAUUGAUGGGGUUAUCUUCGGAGAAGCUCUUGAUCGAAGCCCCGGUAAACGGCGGCCGUAACUAUAACGGUCCUAAGGUAGCGAAAUUCCUUGUCGGGUAAGUUCCGACCUGCACGAAUGGCGUAACGAUGGCCACACUGUCUCCACCCGAGACUCAGUGAAAUUGAAAUCGCUGUGAAGAUGCAGUGUACCCGCGGCUAGACGGAAAGACCCCGUGAACCUUUACUAUAGUUUUGCACUGGACUUUGAUGAUGACUGUGUAGGAUAGGUGGGAGGCUGUGAAGUGAGGACGCUAGUUCUCAUGGAGCCGCCCUUGAAAUACCACCCUGUUGUUAUUGAGGUUCUAACUUGGUCCAGUAAUCCUGGAUGAGGACAGUGUAUGAUGGGUAGUUUGACUGGGGCGGUCUCCUCCCAAAGAGUAACGGAGGAGCACAAAGGUACCCUCGGUACGGUCGGACAUCGUACCAAGAGUGUAAAGGCAAAAGGGUGCUUGACUGCGAGAGUGACGGCUCGAGCAGGAACGAAAGUUGGUCUUAGUGAUCCGGUGGUUCUGAAUGGAAGGGCCAUCGCUCAACGGAUAAAAGGUACUCCGGGGAUAACAGGCUGAUACCGCCCAAGAGUUCAUAUCGACGGCGGUGUUUGGCACCUCGAUGUCGGCUCAUCACAUCCUGGGGCUGAAGCAGGUCCCAAGGGUAUGGCUGUUCGCCAUUUAAAGUGGUACGCGAGCUGGGUUUAGAACGUCGUGAGACAGUUCGGUCCCUAUCUGCCGUGGGCGUAGGAAAAUUGAGAGGAGCUGCUCCUAGUACGAGAGGACCGGAGUGGACGAACCUCUGGUGCACCGGUUGUCACGCCAGUGGCAUGGCCGGGUAGCUAAGUUCGGACGGGAUAACCGCUGAAAGCAUCUAAGCGGGAAGCCUCCCUCAAGAUGAGUUUUCCCAUGAAGCCCGUUGAAGACUACGACGUUGAUAGGCAAGGUGUGGAAGCGCAGUAAUGCGUGAAGCUAACUUGUACUAAUUGGCUGAUUGUCUUGACCAU